RNAcentral lists this long non-coding RNA (591 nucleotides) under Triticum aestivum (bread wheat). Its description in RNAcentral is "long non-coding RNA (TAES_LNC024977)". Lineage: Eukaryota; Viridiplantae; Streptophyta; Magnoliopsida; Poales; Poaceae. The record is from RNAcentral.
AGAACUAGAACCAGUUCAUAAUGAUUCUAAUAGGCUUUUAUUAUAACCGAGAAGAGCAUGUUCAAAUAAGCCUUAAUUUGCUUAUACUUAUCUUAAACUCACAGUAUAACCAACUGAUUAAGUAUAACCGGCCGGGUGAGAAACUUUUGGACAAGAAUGUUUUAGAGUUGCAACAAGUAAAUCUAUAUAUCUUGAUAAUAAUAAUAGAUUGCAUUGCAGCGCGCACUAAUUAAGAGCCAGCAUACGUACGAUCCAUUGCUCUAGACAACACGGCUCCAUUCUAUGAUUUCACCGUCAUCAUUGCCUUCCCGCGUUGCUGGUUUCAUCAUUUCAAUCUUAGUAGAAGGCCCUGCUGAAUCAUCAUUGCCUUCCCGCGUUGCUGGUUUCAUCAUUUCAAUCUUAGUAGAAGGCCCUGCUGAAUCAUCAUUGCCUUCCCGCGUUGCUGGUUUCAUCAUUUCAAUCUUAGUAGAAGGCCCUGCUGAAUCAACAGUGCUCGUUGAUUCUGCUGUGCCAUUGCUCUUCUCCAAUGCCUUCUUCAUCUUAGCCUUCUGAGCCCAAGACAGAACACCCUGCUGGACAUGCUUAUUAAAG